Molecule: ribosomal RNA, 938 nt
Filed under: uncultured haloarchaeon
Lineage: Archaea; Methanobacteriati; Methanobacteriota; Halobacteria; Halobacteriales; Halobacteriaceae
Description: bacterial SSU rRNA
Rfam family: Archaeal small subunit ribosomal RNA
Source: RNAcentral
GCCAUGCUGUCGCACGGGUUUAGACCCGUGGCGAACAGCUCAGUAACACGUGGCCAAACUGCCCUGUGGACGGAGAUAAUCUCGGGAAACUGAGGCUAAUCCCCGAUAGGGCUUCCAUCCUGGAGUGGAGGAAGUCCAAAAGUUGCGCUGCGGCACCACAGGAUGUGGCUGCGGCCGAUUAGGUAGACGGUGGGGUAACGGCCCACCGUGCCAGUAAUCGGUACGGGUGAUGAGAGUCAGAGCCCGGAGACGGUAUCUGAGACAAGAUACCGGGCCCUACGGGGCGCAGCAGGCGCGAAACCUUUACACUGCACGACAGUGCGAUAGGGGGAUUCCGAGUGCGAGGGCAUACAGUCCUCGCUUUUCUGGACCGUAAGGAGGUCCAAGAAUAAGGGCUGGGCAGGACCGGUGCCAGCCGCCGCGGUAAUACCGGCAGCCCGAGUGAUGGCCGAUAUUAUUGGGCCUAAAGCGUCCGUAGCUGGCCAGACAAGUCCGUUGGGAAAUCCACGCGCUCAACGCGUGGGCGUCCAGCGGAAACUGCCUGGCUUGGGGCCGGAGGACUCGAGGGGUACGUCCGGGGUAGGAGUGAAAUCCCGUAAUCCUGGACGGACCACCGGUGGCGAAAGCGCCUCGAGAGGACGGACCCGACAGUGAGGGACGAAAGCCAGGGUCUCGAACCGGAUUAGAUACCCGGGUAGUCCUGGCCGUAAACGAUGUCUGCUAGGUGUGGCGCAGGCUACGAGCCUGCGCUGUGCCGCAGGGAAGCCGUGAAGCAGACCGCCUGGGAAGUACGUCCGCAAGGAUGAAACUUAAAGGAAUUGGCGGGGGAGCACUACAACCGGAGGAGCCUGCGGUUUAAUUGGACUCAACGCCGGACAUCUCACCGGCACCGACAACAGUGAUGACGGUCAGGUUGAUGACCUUGCUCGAGUUGUUGA